This 683-nucleotide long non-coding RNA is filed under the name Rattus norvegicus (Norway rat). Its description in RNAcentral is "long non-coding RNA NONRATT007736". The record is from RNAcentral. Lineage: Eukaryota; Metazoa; Chordata; Mammalia; Rodentia; Muridae.
GGAAUGUGAGCUUAAGUGUUCUUUGUAGCAGAGAGCAUUGGGGCUUGCAUUAAAUUUAGUGGGAAUCUGGUUUUUCUCUACAUGCUUCCUAAUACAUUAGCAAGUGGAAGUGUGGAAUUAAGAGUUUUGAUAGAAAACUAGGUUGGUAAAAAUGAAACUAGCAUCGAAGAUCAGGCUGAGUUUGGUGGUCUCCAAGUUAUCCUGGAGUUGUAGGCUUCAUUGUCUUGGCAUUCUAGACCCUUUUACAUGAAGAUAAUGAGUAUGUUGGCUUAAGUUUUAAUAUACAGCCCUGCUGGUUCUAAUGACGGAAUUUGGGCUCUUCUGCUAAGAGGAAUAGUGGGCACCCAUCUUUAAUUCUAGUGCUUCAUGAGGUUGAGGGAGCCUGCUCUGUGUGACAUCCCCCUGAUAAAUUUAAAAGGCAAUGUAAACACUGGAAGGAGGUUAAUGGGACAGUGCUAACAUUAAAUUUGAAUUGUUAUUUCUGGUUUCAGUAACUCGCCAAAAUGACGAACACAAAAGGAAAGAGGAGGGGUACUCGGUAUAUGUUCUCUAGACCUUUUAGGAAACAUGGAGUCGUUCCUUUGGCCACAUACAUGCGAAUCUACAAGAAGGGUGAUAUUGUAGACAUCAAGGGAAUGGGCACUGUUCAAAAAGGAAUGCCCCAUAAGUGUUACCAUGGCAAA